GAACCAAUCAAAUGAGCCACAAACAAUUGUUUGAGUAAAUAAUUGAAGUGGUAAGAUGGCAUCAAAUAAAGAAGAGGUGAAGCUUUUUGGAGUGGAGGAAAGUCCAUUUGUGAGCAGGGUUAAGAUUGCUCUAAAGUUGAAGGGAGUUGAAUACAAAUAUGAGUUAGAAAAAGUGGGGAAUUUUAGUGACACACUCAUCAAAUACAACUUUGUUUAUAAAAAAGUUCCUGUAUUAGUUCAUAAUGAAAAAUCUAUUUCAGAAUCUCGUGUGAUCCUUGAGUAUAUUGAUGAGACUUGGAAACAAAAUUCAAUAUUGCCUUCUGAUCCUUACAAAAAAACUUUGGCUCGUUUUUGGUCCCAUUUCAUAGAUGACAAGUGUUUGAGUGCUAUGCUGAAAACUGCUUAAACUAAUGAUGAGCAUGAACGUGAGACGAGUAUUGAAGAAACAAAAGUGGCUAUUCAAAUUCUUGAGAAUGAGCUGAAUGACAAAUUCUUUGGUGGGGAAGAUAUUGGUUUUCUUGACAUUAAUGCUGUCUUAAUAGCUUAUUGGCUCCCUAUUAUAUAUGAAGCAAUAGGAUUGAAAUUGUUCACCAAUGACAAAUUUCCCAAACUUUAUAAAUGGAGCCAAGACUUCAAUAAUCAUCCAAUUGUCAAGGAAACACUUCCUCCUAGAGAUACUCUUUUGGCCUUCUACAAAGCUCAUUAUGAAAAUCUAAAGAAUUGAAGUGCUACAAUGGCAUCAAAUAAAGAAGAGGUGAAGCUUUUUGGAAUGAUGUUAAGUCCAUUUGUUACUAGGGUAGAGAUUGGUCUAAAAUUGAAGGGAGUUGGAUACAAAUAUGAGUUAGAAAAAAUGGGGAAUUUAAGUGAAGCACUCAUCAAUUACAAUCCUGUUUAUAAGAAAGUUCCUGUAUUAGUUCAUAACGAAAAGCCCGUUUCAGAAUCACUUAUAAUUCUUGAAUAUAUUGAUGAGACUUGGAAACAAAAUCCUAUCUUGCCUUCUGAUCCUUACAAGAAAGCAUUGGCUCAUUUCUGGUCCAAGUUCAUAGAUGACAAGUUUUUGAGUGCUAUAAAAAAAGCAAUUUUCACUAUUGAUGAGAAAGAACGUGAGAAUGGUAUUGAGGAAACAGAAGUGGCUCUUCAAUUUCUUGAGAAUGAGAUUAAGGACAAAUUCUUUGGUGGAGAAGAUAUUGGCUUUGUUGACAUUUCUGCUGUCUUAAUAGCUUAUUGGCUCCCUAUAGUACAAGAAGUAGUAGGACUAAAUUUGUUCACUCAUGAGAAAUUUCCCAAGCUUUAUAAAUGGAGUCAAGACUUCACCAACCACCCAAUUGUUAAGGAAACUUUGCCUUCUAGAGAAACAUUAUUGCCCUACUUCAAAGCUCGUUAUGAAACUUUUCUUGCUUCAAAAUAGAUCAAUUCAAAUGUGAUACGUAUUUGGAGGGUUGAGGAGAAUUAUCUAAACUACUUGUUUUGUCAUUUAGUUGCUUUUGUAUGUGCAACCUAGGAUUUCUCCUUGUUUAAAAAAUUCUAGGAAUUUGUACUCGUUUAAUGUACUAUUUUAUUUAAUAAAGAAAAUCCUUAUUCCCAAAAAAA
Cicer arietinum (chickpea) is the source of this 1590-nucleotide RNA transcript. RefSeq lists it as uncharacterized. The record is from RefSeq and is a predicted model, not a curated record. NCBI's taxonomy places the organism in Eukaryota, Viridiplantae, Streptophyta, Magnoliopsida, Fabales, Fabaceae.